GACGAACGCUGGCGGCGUGCUUAACACAUGCAAGUCGAACGGAAAGGCCCUGCUUGCAGGGUACUCGAGUGGCGAACGGGUGAGUAACACGUGGGUGAUCUGCCCUGCACUUCGGGAUAAGCCUGGGAAACUGGGUCUAAUACCGGAUAGGAGCCAUUUUUAGUGUGAUGGUUGGAAAGUUUUUUCGGUGUAGGAUGAGCUCGCGGCCUAUCAGCUUGUUGGUGGGGUAAUGGCCUACCAAGGCGGCGACGGGUAGCCGGCCUGUGAGGGUGGACGGCCACAUUGGGACUGAGGUGCGGCCCAGACUCCGACGGGAGGCAGAAGUGGGGAAUAUUGCACAAUGGGCGCAAGGCUGAUGCAGCGGCGCGGCGGGUGGGAUGACGGCCUUCGGGUUGUAAAAUCGUUUCGCUAGGGACGAAGCUUGUUGUGACGGUACCUAGAUAAGAAGCACCGGCUAACUACGUG
Molecule: ribosomal RNA, 465 nt
Filed under: uncultured bacterium
Lineage: Bacteria
Description: partial 16S ribosomal RNA
Rfam family: Bacterial small subunit ribosomal RNA
Source: RNAcentral